Non-coding RNA from Peromyscus maniculatus bairdii (prairie deer mouse), 3163 nucleotides. Lineage: Eukaryota; Metazoa; Chordata; Mammalia; Rodentia; Cricetidae. The record is from RefSeq and is a predicted model, not a curated record.
UGGUGCUUCUAUAAAUACCAAAGGGCAGAGACAGUCAGGGCUCAUUGGAAAAGGUUCCAGGCCCUCUCGAGGCUAUCCUGUAUUUUCUAUGUUUAUCUCCACAUUCUAAAUCCUAAUAUUUCCUGAUGCUGUCACUCAAGAAAACUCUGGGGAACUGUGGGGUUGGUGGGUAAACGCCCCGCACUAGGGUGCCUGGGCUGUGGGUUCUCUGGAUCUCGCUCUCUUCUGGCAUCUUCCCCCAGGAACUAAAAGGCAUCCUGGUGACGGGUAGAGGGUGGGGACUUGAGAGGAGAGCCACUGCUGUCUCUCUUUCCUCUCCUGGCAGACUCGUGGCGCGUGCUGGGAUAUUGAGAACUGUCAGCAGAGGCGCAGGGAAGGUCAGCUCAGGCUCCACCCGCUGACUCUCCUUGCAUUUUCACAAACACUUGUCUUUUCCCAAAGUGUCAUGUGUGUGGCCAGCAGGGACAUCUGCUCUUGGCCAUUUAAGCCUCCCUUGGUACAACUGCCAACUCCUCCCAGGCUUCCUGAAGCCAAGGAAGGCCGGCACCAGGACCCAAACAACCCCCGUCUCAGCCCAUCUUAGAAGGGGUUCAUUUUUCCUGGGGAUAUCUAGCCCUUUGAGAACACACAUUACGAAUUCAACUUGAAAACAAAUCUUUUGUUUUGUUUCAAUUAGAAGGAAAAUCCAAACGAAUGUUCCCUGGACUCUUCUCCUCUGUGUUAUCUGAAUAUUUUCAUCCAUGCUUACUGGCCCUGAUCUUCCUGUUCUCAGCUUUAAAAUAUGAAUUAUGUAAUCCCAAUUUCUCUAGUUCUGAUGGUUAAAGGAGUUCCCAUACCAUAGAGAGAUGCGGGAAGUGCCCCCAAACUCCUCUUGGCGUCAUUUGUAGAAAUUCUCAGAUGUUUCUGCAGCGAUGUGCACACUGAUGUUCAGCAGAACGUUGUGUGGCGUACCCUCAGAUUAGGGCCAUGGCUUCCUGCAUGGAGAAGGCGUCUUGGCUCUGGAGAAGGCUUCGUGGAAGGAAGCGAUCAGUGAUGGCGUCCUGCCUCUUGAUGAUUCUGUCUGCUGUGGCUGUCACUCACUUUCCUCCAGAGCAUCCAGCUUCCACUCCAGGACUUGGUCCCAUGGAGCCCCAGGGGGAAAUGGGCAUGCCUGACCCCAACAUUUGGCAGACUUUGAACCCUAGCCAGAGGCAGCAGGCAAAAAACCUGGGCUUCCAGAAAGGCCAGGCUUUGCCCAGAAAUUCCAUCCUGGUCUGUGCCGAGAAGCAAAGCCACAGAAGGCGACCAGACAGAAGCGGACACCCACUGAGGGUCAGGAGAGGUGUUGCUGUGACAGGAGGUCCGACACUCAGUGCCCACCAUCCUGUGCUUCUGAUGGAGAAUGAGGUCAGAGAUGCAGGAGGCACAGCCCUCGAACAGCCUGGGCAAGAUGGUCCUGUCCAAGAGACACAGAGUAAGAAAGACACCCUGGUUAGCCCACUCACAGGGAGCAGCCAGGCAACUUUCCAGGCAUGGAGAGGGACUGCUGCAGUGAGCUUUAGGCCCCAACCAUCAGAAGGUGAGGAUUCCCUGCCCGGAGCCAGGGCCAGAGUCUUGACUGGUGGGAAGGCUGGGGGUGUGACCUCAGGUUCUGGGACUCACUGGUGGUCUGGCUCUGCUGGAGAGCUGAGAAGGUCCUCGUGGUGCCACACUGAGACCCCUGGGUUAUUGGCCAGUGCUGCGGCUGGGGGGCAGGUUCCACCCUGGUUCACAGAACACGAUGUUCAGACUCUCUGGCUGCUGGCCCAUGGGGAGGUGGUGGGCAAAGCCAGGGUCCCGGCCCAUGGGCAGGUGCUGCAGGUCGGACUAUCUGCUGACGGUGCCCUCCAGGACAUGUCUCCUCUCAGGCUCAGCCAGCUCUGCUCCCAGGGCCUCUGUGGGCUGGUGAAGAGGCCCAGUGACCUGCAUGAAGUCCUGUCCUUUCAUGUGGACCGUGUGCUGGGACUCCAGCGGAGCCUGCCUGCUGUGGCCCGGAGCUUCCACAGUCCUCUUCUGCCCUACCGCUACACGGACGGUAGUCUGAGGCCCAUCAUCUGGUGGGCACCCGACGUGCAGCACUUGGGAGACCCAGAUGAGGACCAGAACUCUCUGGCCUUGGGCUGGCUGCAGUACCAGGCCCUGCUGGCACGAGGCUGCCGCUGGCCAGGCCAGAUGCCGUGCCUGGGCAUCCACCGUGCCGAGUGGGCGCGUUUGGCCCUCUUCGACUUCCUGCUGCAGAGCCCCUCUGUUCAUCUCCAGGGCUGUAGCGUGGGACCCUUCCUGGGCUGCCAAAUUCUGACAGAAAUCUCUGCAGCCAAGGUGCACAUAGGUCAGCUGUGUGGUCAGACACCACUGGGCUGGGACCACGCCACCUUUCCCAGUGUGCUGGACAGCAGUCAAGAAAAGCAACCAUCUGGCUGGCAACACCUUCCUAGAAACCUCAGCGAGGCUGCAGAAUGUGCGAGUCUGCAUGGGCACCUGGGGUGCCCUGUGACCCACGGCUGGCCACAAACCCCAGAGGCAGCUCACUGAGGCUGGUCUGCUGCCAGCCUCCCUCACACCCCUGUCAGCAAACUCAGAGGCCGGGAAGAACGUGCUGGGGUCUGGAACCACCAUGUUUCCCUGUGCAGGGGCCUUUUCUCCCUUGUGUUUCCUGGAGAGUCUAUCUCUAUUCAGAGAGAGAGAGAGAUUGAUUCCAUUGAAGUCCCCCAAACCUGAGUUUCUUGAGGUUGCUCACAGGAACAUGGGUGGGGUUCCCAGAGCUUGGACAAUUAUGCCACUGAGGAACCCCCACCCCAACAACUGUUAACUGCUUAUGGAUCCUGGGGGUGGGGCUCCUAAGUGUUGUGAGACAUUGUUCCCUGACCCUCCACAGGGACAGUUAGAGACCCCCCUCGUGAAGACCCCUGUGGGUAAUCUCAGCUACUCUUACUUCCAGUGGCAAUGACCACGUCACAGCUGAAAGAACAGCUCCACACUCCAGUCUGCCUCUCAGGCGCAUGCCACUGUCUGACUUGGGUGAUCUGUGGAGAAGUCAGGUCCAUGACCGCCUGGAUCGCUACUGCUGUGGCUUCGAGCCUGCACCCUCAGACCCCUGUGUGGAAGAGGGUCUCCGAGAGAAGUGUCAGAACCCAGAGGAGCUGCG